RNAcentral lists this long non-coding RNA (516 nucleotides) under Androctonus crassicauda. The record is from RNAcentral. Lineage: Eukaryota; Metazoa; Arthropoda; Arachnida; Scorpiones; Buthidae.
GUUUAUCGUUUAUUGCCAUAGUAACUGUUCUACAUGACUUUUACACAUAUUUUUAUAUGGCUUAUAUGCACAAAUAUAUUUGUUUUUUCAACAUUCUCUUUCUCCUAAUAACUUUUCCCUUCCAUCAACAGCAGAUAUCAUUGUUUGAGAAUCUAAUUCUACAAUCAAACUAAACAGAAGACAGUGUCCAAUAGCAAUUAUAAAGACUCCAAAUAAAGACAUGAUCUGAGUAAAAAGUUGAUGAUGUUAAAAAAGAUAUUACAGUAACACAAACAUCCAUCUUUUGAAUGGAACAAGACACACAGUUAUGAUUAAGGAUUGCAUGGUGCCCAAAUUUAGCUUCUUCAGACUACAGAUAAUUUUUCCUAGAAUGAAGAAAUGGAGAGAUGGAUUUGGGUGCAGUGUCAAGAAUGGAUUGGUCUGGUAUACAGAUGAUUCCAAAAUCACUACUGAUGUAAGAGCAGAAGUUUACUGUAAGAGAAUGAUAUGUCAUAUUCUUAUUCUCUUGGACAGUUU